Long non-coding RNA from Cryptomeria japonica (Japanese cedar), 2198 nucleotides. RefSeq lists it as uncharacterized. Lineage: Eukaryota; Viridiplantae; Streptophyta; Pinopsida; Cupressales; Cupressaceae. The record is from RefSeq and is a predicted model, not a curated record. The transcript is spliced from 2 exons.
GGUAGUUGUUUUAAACAGUGAUUAAAUUUUUCCCUCUCAACCAAUCAGCUUGCUAGAAACUUUUGUAUAUCUUUCUUUUCCACUAUGUAUUAUCAAGAAGUUGCUUUUUAUUUAAGUGAAUUUUCCCUGAAAAGUAUUGUGGCAGUACCUCAUUUGCGUUGCAGAUGGCUGGCAGCUACUUUUCCAUAUACCAAGACGAGAGAACGCACGCCUUCCAAGAACAGGGUCUGUAAAAUUGGUCUCGGGAUGCUUGGGCCUACAAAAUUUUAGGUCUGCAAAAACUUAAGGGGAUCAUGGUAAGGUACAGGUGGGGUACAGGUGGGACAAACAGUCGGCAAUUACUUGGCGAUUAGAGCUUGAAUUCUUUUGCAUGUUUCUGGAACGUGGAAGAUGCUGGUAAAAAUUGCAGUGCGUAGGUCCCGAUGUGACUGGGUCAAAAAAUCAACAAGCUACAUCUCGAUCCGAACCUCUACCAACACUGCAGCCUCUUUCCUGCGCUUACCUUUGCAACUGACGCUAGGCAUCGAUCUCGGUCUACUUUCUUUCAGGGAUACCGUUGUGCCCUGUCUGCUUCCACAUUUUGCAUACAUAUCUACCAGAGCAGUUGCUACUGCAGAAUUUGACAACAAUCCUCUAUCCUUCAUGCUUCGAUGGAUGUCCAUACCUUCUUUCAAAGCUGCCAUUUUGGCACGAAUAGGGAGGAUGCUUGCAAAGGUUGUGGAUUUUUAAUAUCAGUUUUGAAUACAUUUUAUCUUUCAAUCUUUAAAAUUUUCCUUUAAGUGUUUGUGAUCCAUCUGUAUGUGUCAUGUGAUUCGGAUGACCAGGGAGGAUUCAGUUAAGAAAAUAGCCAAUAAAUCGAGGCGUAAAACACGUUAUAGUUUUCACGUUAUGCGCGCACUACAUAAGAAGGCAUUUUGAGCAAACGUAUGGCGGGAAGUAAAAAAACCGUGUGGAUGUAUAUAGAUUGCACAGGCUAUCCAUCAAUGCCAUAAUCACCGGCACACAUCGGCGCACACAUCUAUGGAAGCCAAGGAUUCUGCAUGUUGUUACGAGAGGUUCAUAACCACAGAUGGAUUUUGCGUUUCGAAGAGGAGAGGUUGCCCUGGUAGUCACGACAGAUGUGAUUGUUUCGAACCAAGUCUGUCGUUCUAGCAAAUUCCUCUAAUCUGCAAAUCUAUAACACCAGGAGUUUUAGUACGAAUUGUUUUUCUGGAUUUUUCUUAGUGAUUGGGCAUUCUUGACCAUCCUCACAAUUUCUCUUCUAAUUGCUAAUGUAAAUAUUGACUAAGAUUAAUUUAAAUCCAUAUGCUUAUGUUGGUACAUAUUCCCCUUCAUUUUUUAGAAUGUUACUAAAAGUGUGCUUUCCAGCACAAGUGUCAUGUGUUUUAAGAACACUACUCGUCAAUUUGUAAUAGCAUGUCUAACACAAUACUAAUUAUAUUGUUCAUCUCAACACAUUUUAUAUGAUUUUGGAGAAUAUCACUAGCAAGUGACAAAUGAAACCUUUUAUGUAUAUCUCAUUGUGUUAUGUGUACUGUUACUGUAAUAAACGCUUCACAAACUUCUAGAUUGGAGUAAUGUCGAGGAUAAUUCAUUCAAAUUAUCUGCAACGUAUUUCAAAAUAUGUAACUAAACUAUUUUUCCUAAUGUUAAAUUAUUUUUCCACUGACGUGUUAUACAUUAGACUAGUCAUAUACGUAUGGCAAUAUCGUGAACAUUGGCCAUCAUGAUUUAGCCACUAUAUGCAUUAUGUUCCUGUCACAAUCUUGAUAUCACUACACUUCCAUGCUAUGGACUAUUCCUCCUUGGUUUUUGACAAUACCCUUCGUGUAAUCUUAUUAGAUCAGUCACUUUGUAUUAUCAUUAUCUUAUUAAGUCUGUCACCUUGUAUUAUCACCAGUUAGUCUCUGCAUUACCCAUAGUGAGACAAUUGUCUUACCUUUACUAUAGUUGCAAUUGAUAAGAUUUUGUACAUUCCUAUGUCAUGGAAGUCGAAUAACUGAUUUCUAAUCUUCACAUUGUUAAUUGAUAAGCUCUUGUACGUUCCCAUGCCAUGGAAGUCGAAUAACUGAUUUCUAAUCUUCAUAUUGUUAAUUUUGUGGCAAGCCCAGAAUGAAAAAGCUGAGAGCAACCAGCAAGUCGAGAAAAAAGCUCAAAACAACAAGAAAACCUACUGAUUCAAAAAUGAAAUAACACAA